Molecule: ribosomal RNA, 501 nt
Filed under: Pichia manshurica
Lineage: Eukaryota; Fungi; Ascomycota; Pichiomycetes; Pichiales; Pichiaceae
Description: partial large subunit ribosomal RNA
Rfam family: Eukaryotic large subunit ribosomal RNA
Source: RNAcentral
AGUGAGCGGCAAGAGCUCAGAUUUGAAAUCGUGUUUCGGCACGAGUUGUAGAGUGUAGGCGGGAGUCUCUGUGGAGCGCGGUGUCCAAGUCCCUUGGAACAGGGUGCCUGAGAGGGUGAGAGCCCCGUAGGGUGCUGCGCGAAGCUUUUGAGGCCCUGCUGACGAGUCGAGUUGUUUGGGAAUGCAGCUCCAAGCGGGUGGUAAAUUCCAUCUAAGGCUAAAUAUUGGCGAGAGACCGAUAGCGAACAAGUACUGUGAAGGAAAGAUGAAAAGCACUUUGAAAAGAGAGUGAAACAGCACGUGAAAUUGUUGAAAGGGAAGGGUAUUGGGCUCGACAUGGGGGGUGCGCACCGCUGUCUCUUGUAGGCGGCGCUCUGGGCGCCCUCUGGGCCAGCAUCGGUUCCUGCUGCGGGAGAAGGGGCUCCGGAAGUGGCUCUUCGGAGUGUUAUAGCCCGGGGCCAGAUGCCGCGUGUGGGGACCGAGGACUGCGGCUUCUGUCUC